UAAACGAAGCCCGAACAGCGCACCCCUGCAGUCGAACAAAAGGCCUAUAGUCGUAAUGGCAAGUGUCAAUCUGACGCGGCGUUCGAUUGCACGCACACAGCGAGAUAAACAAACUGACAGCGAGGAAGUCAUUCGCCCGUUGCUGAUCUCUCGUCCACACGCGGUGCGAAUCAGUUCGCGAGAAAUAAAACGUUUCGCGGGGAAAAACGUGUGAUUAGGCACAAAUCGACUCGCUGAAAACUACCUUUUCGUGACCAUUCGAAGGAUUCACAAAGGUGUACCCAACCUCGUGCAUCUGAGUCGGUAACCGGGAGUCCCCGGGAAACGAGCAAUCGGUCGUCAUUAAGGGACAAGAAGAAUCGGCGGCGGGCAUAAAGCUUCUCAAAGCCGGACGUACCAACGAAUUUGAGAAGAAGGAACUCUCCCCAGUCGCCGCGUGGAGCUAAACCGUCGUAACAAAAGCGGUCAGUUACUGGAGCAGCUCGGAAUCCACGAGAACCGUAAAAAGACCCCUCUGGGGUUUUGUUGUUGAGCCAACUCGAUCGAAAUCCGGUUGACUCACGGACGGUGGUCAUUGUGGACCGACGACACAGUUACGGAAUUCGCUUGGACACACAUCCGCUCCUCGAUUGCCGGAAAGUACCCAUCUACCCGAUCUCCAGACGCGAGCAAAGACAACGGGUGCACGACGCGUGGCCGAUCCGAGAUAUCCCGAAGCACCGCUGGAGAAUCCACUCACAUCAGGAAUCGAAGGUGGAGUGUUGGAGUGAGGGACAACGUUGGAGUUUCGGCAUCGAGACAUCGCGUAGGUGCGAUCGACGCAGAUCGGUUGCUGAUUAUGGGAUCGUGCGGGGAUGCUCACGACGCCAGAGCUGGGGGACGCCCCGUGUAGCUGGUACCGUGAGUAGGAAAUAUGAUUAGCAUGUAAGGACUUGAUUUUGAUAGGAAGAAGAGAGAAAGUAGGGAUGGAAGGAUGAUCAGGCUCCGUUAGGAGAAGAUGGAUCGAAGGAAUAAAGAUUCCAUGUAUGGUUAAAUUG
This is a long non-coding RNA of Armigeres subalbatus, 1037 nucleotides long. RefSeq lists it as uncharacterized. NCBI's taxonomy places the organism in Eukaryota, Metazoa, Arthropoda, Insecta, Diptera, Culicidae. The record is from RefSeq and is a predicted model, not a curated record. The transcript has 4 exons.